RNAcentral lists this RNase P RNA (428 nucleotides) under Lachnospiraceae bacterium. RNAcentral's name for it is "RNase P RNA component class A". It matches the Rfam family "Bacterial RNase P class A". From Rfam's summary of the family: Ribonuclease P (RNase P) is a ubiquitous endoribonuclease, found in archaea, bacteria and eukarya as well as chloroplasts and mitochondria. Its best characterised activity is the generation of mature 5'-ends of tRNAs by cleaving the 5'-leader elements of precursor-tRNAs. The record is from RNAcentral. Lineage: Bacteria; Bacillati; Bacillota; Clostridia; Lachnospirales; Lachnospiraceae.
CUUUCGGGGCAGGGCGCGGUGUCGGCGCAGCGGCGGGCAUACACGAGGAAAGUCCGGGCUUCACAGGGCAGGAUGCCAGAUAACGUCUGGUGGGGGCGACCCUAAGGACAGUGCAACAGAAAUAUACCGCCGCACCCUUGGCGGGCGAGUGCCUCCGCACUGUGCGGACCCCGGCUGUGUGCCGGGGCGAGGCAGGGCGCCGGGGCGCAUCUUCCCGUCGGUGCGGUAAGGGUGGAAUGGCAGUGUAAGAGACUACCGCCUGGCUGGUAACAGGCAGGGCACAUGUAAACCCCAUCCGAAGCAAGGCCAAACAGGGGGCUUAGGGCGGCCCGUCUGCCCCCGGGUAGGCCGCUUGACCCCGUCGGUGACGGCGGGGCUAGACAGAUGACCAUUCGCGACAGAACCCGGCUUAUCGUCUUUUGGGGCGC